AUGUUUAAUUUCUUGUUGUCACCAUUUCCACGGACUGAUUAUUUUUAGAUUGGCUAGUUUCACUUUUUUUCGUCCAAUAAGAUUGGAGUAUUGGUUGUUUUGUGGUCACAUGAUCUUGGUUUGCGGUAGAGACCGCCAUGUUUAAUUUCUUGUUAGCAAGGCAAAGUGGUUUAUCAAGUGUUUUACUUUUUUAUAAGUUUGUAUGGUGUAUUUGGAUAUCGGAAUUGGCACAGUUACAGCUCUUGGAGGUGUUGGUACACAAGCACAGGUUUGAGGAGACUGGAGAGUGUUGUUACAUGCAAUGUGGGGUUUAUUCUACAAAUAAGACCCGGACAUGUUACACGUCUUGAGUGGUUUGAUGAUAAACAGUUAUUUAUGUGCUCAGAGACAUGUACCAUUGUUUACAUGAUGACAGAUUGAUAUAUAUAGAAGAAGAUUAUAUAGAUAAUUAAAAGUAGUAGAAACCCCGAAUUGUGUAGUUUCAUCUCUACUAGAAAUACAUUUAACAUGUUUAAGGCAAAAACAAAACUAAAUGGCAGAGAUAGUAUAAUACUACGUUCUCUACAGGAACAUAUGGGUUCAUGAUCUUUUUGAUAACAUUGAAUAAACCAGAGCUAUAUGGAUGAAGCAAUUUUCAAUGUAAAAAGAACCUCUAUAUCAUGUUAAAGAUUAGAAAAUAUUUCAACCAUUCAAGUAACAUAUUCUGCAAAACAGGUAGAAAGCAAGGUUCCCAAUGUGCGUGGAUGUUUUCACUGGCAAGUUGGUUGAAAAAAUCGUGGGACACCUUCUGUCUCUUUUAUUUAUUAUAAUUGACAAAUUUGUAAUAUUCUAGAGAAUAUGAAUAAACUAAAUGUGUGUCCAUAGCACAUGGAUAUCCUCCACUUCUGUCACUAAAUGUACAUGAUUUAAUGACUCUAGGUGAAAUAUUUCUUUAAGAUAUAUGCAGAACAAACUUUUGAAAUAUUAAAUACAACUAGAAGAUGCUUUUGUAGAAAAGUGCAUGUCUCUCCCAAUGCAUAGUAGUAAUAGGCAAGAAGUCAACAGGGGGCAGGAGAGAAAGUCAAAGAGACACUGAUGGUUGGCUGCAAUAGGGAUCAUCUACUUGGCAUGUCCAAUCAUCCCACAAAGUUUCAACAUUCUGGGCCUAGUGGUUCUCAAGUUAUGGACUGGAAACAGUUUUCCAUGUUCAGCCAACUGUGACCUUGACCUUUGAUCUAG
Long non-coding RNA from Mercenaria mercenaria, 1218 nucleotides. RefSeq lists it as uncharacterized. The transcript is spliced from 3 exons. The record is from RefSeq and is a predicted model, not a curated record. Lineage: Eukaryota; Metazoa; Mollusca; Bivalvia; Venerida; Veneridae.